CCCUUAGAUGUUCUGGGCUGCACGCGUGCUACAAUGGCGUUUCCAGCAAGUCUGCGAACCCGAGAGGGCCAGCGGAUCUUCGAAUUGGCGUCGUGAUCGGGACAGUCGAUUGCAAUUAUUUGACUCAAACGAGGAAUUCCUUGUAAUCGCGACUCAUCAUAUCGCGCUGAAUACGUCCCUGCCCUUUGUACACACCGCCCGUCGCUCCUACCGAUUGAGCGAUCCGGUAAAUGUUUUGGAUUGGUGCCGGGGCGGCUAGCUGCCGGUCGCUACGAAAUUUUGUGAACCUUAUCGCUUAGAGGAAGGAAAAGUCGUAACA
RNAcentral lists this ribosomal RNA (319 nucleotides) under uncultured eukaryote. RNAcentral describes it as "partial 18S ribosomal RNA". It matches the Rfam family "Eukaryotic small subunit ribosomal RNA", at positions 1470 to 1796 of the family's 1831-position model. The record is from RNAcentral.